Molecule: ribosomal RNA, 492 nt
Filed under: uncultured bacterium
Lineage: Bacteria
Description: partial 16S ribosomal RNA
Rfam family: Bacterial small subunit ribosomal RNA
Source: RNAcentral
AGUGAACGCUGGCGGUAGGCCUAACACAUGCAAGUCGAACGGCAGCACAGUAAGAGCUUGCUCUUACGGGUGGCGAGUGGCGGACGGGUGAGGAAUACAUCGGAAUCUACUUUUUCGUGGGGGAUAACGUAGGGAAACUUACGCUAAUACCGCAUACGACCUACGGGUGAAAGCAGGGGAUCUUCGGACCUUGCGCGAUUGAAUGAGCCGAUGUCGGAUUAGCUAGUUGGCGGGGUAAAGGCCCACCAAGGCGACGAUCCGUAGCUGGUCUGAGAGGAUGAUCAGCCACACUGGAACUGAGACACGGUCCAGACUCCUACGGGAGGCAGCAGUGGGGAAUAUUGGACAAUGGGCGCAAGCCUGAUCCAGCCAUACCGCGUGGGUGAAGAAGGCCUUCGGGUUAUAAAGCCCUUUUGUUGGGAAAGAAAAGCAGCAGGUUAAUACCCCGCUGUUCUGACGGUACCCAAAGAAUAAGCACCGGCUAACGUCGUG